GCGACAAGCAUGUCACACCCUUUAAGAAGUUCUUUGUACGCAUUGUUAACAACUUGGACAAUAAAAGGUUGGACUUCGAUUGCCGAUCCGAAGACAGUGUUAUUGAUCGUAGUCUUCCCGCCAGUGGGGAUGAGUUUGAAUUUGGAUUUCGUGUGAACUUCCAAUUCACCACAUAUUUUUUCUGCAAUUUGUGGUCCUUGGACCACCUUGUUGCUUUUUAUGGGUUUAAAAUCGAUCAACCGCUUUUGACCCUCUGCGGUGGAUUCCACUGCAUAUGGAAAGCGUAUUUUUUGGAGGAUGGGUCUACUUGUAUAACUGCCGAUGGGGCAAUUGGUUAAGGAAGUAUUUUUUGUAGAAUAAGCAUGGUCAAGUGAAACUGAUUCUUAAUGAUUAAUUAGUAGCUGUUAAGACUCAAAGCGCACAAAACCUGACAGGACCCGAUCCCAAUUCCAUUUUGGAAUUCGAACCAAGCCCUGUGUGUGUCCGACAUCUGGCAACUGUCGGGCACAAAUGACCAUUUUAUCCUUCAUGCUACAAUUACUAUGAAAACUUUCCCCGGACUUCUGCCGAAAAUUCGGCAGAGUCUCCCCUAUAUUUUGACCAAACCCAAAAUCUUCCACCUGUUAAACAAUUAAAUAAAUCCACACCAACUGCUAGAAUAAAAUAACCAAGUAUUCACCAGCUCCAGUUUUCCACUAAAACUAGAUAUCAGAGCAUUUUCUAAAGUUUACAAGGGUUUCAAGGACUUUUCCACAAAACUCUACCUUACUUGGUGGCGCGGAAACUAGGAAUGGCCCGGUGGUGGAUCCUGCGCACUUCUACAGCCUGGGAGCGAAAAAACAAGUUGAAAGUUUGUGAGUGGACCAAACAUAAGGUUCUUGAAAACAGUUUAUAAUCAUAGUAACCCCCAUGGUAAAAUAACUUGAUAAGUAAAGCUAAAGUUCGCCUGUAUUUAAUAUAAGGUCUUCAUCUAAAUAUAUACACAUAUAUAUAUAUAAUUGUAUGUAUAUAAAUUCGUAAAACUGAACAAUUAUAUGGAGAUAUAAACAUGCACGAAUAAUGAGAAAACUGAUAUAAAAUGAUUGAAAUCAAUAGCUGUGUAAAAGUGCUCAAAUUCCUUUAAAACUACCACCUAAUUGUACCAUUGUCAAUCCGUCAAUUCCCCUGGCAGGUCUCGGGCGACACGCAGUCUAUCCGAACUGCAAACUGGCAAGAUACAGGGGACUAUGGUCAGCCUGAUCCGCCGGCAGGUCUCAAUGACACCAAGUCGACUCGAGCCGCUCUGGCAGGUCUCGGGGACACAGAGUCAGCCGAGCCGCAAAUCCUGGCAGUUCUCGGGACACAAAGUCUGCCGAGCCGCAAAUCCUGGCACUCACGGUCCGAGCGUCCCCGAAAUUCGUAAGGCAAAGUCAAGUGCACUGAUUGAACUGUAAACAGACUGGAUGUCCAUAGACAUCGGUCCGUCUGAGGGUAAUCACCAAAUAAAAGGCGGGUACAUGGUGGUUCUAAAACAACUAUUUUAGAAAAACUUGAUAUUUCUCUGAAAUCUGAUAGAUCUGAGUUAAGCUGCUAUUUCUGUAUCACAAAUCUCAAGUCUGCUGCUCAACUAAGUAAUAUAAAAGUAAAGAUAUUUUAUGCUACAAUUAAUGGUCGGAACACAUGUAAUAACACUUAUUCAAGAUCAAAUACUGGAAUUUAUUCAGAUAAACUCAUUUAUAAAAACUUAUUUAUAUAAAAUCAAUAUAAAAUCAUUUACGUAAACUCAUUUAUAUAACUUAUUUAUAUAAAAUCCUUUAUGAAAGAAAGUCCACUCACUGCUGGUCUGAGCUAGCUGGACCUCUUGAAGGUCCCUCUUGUGGUUAUGCCGGGCCUCUGGUGCCUGAUUACCCAUAAAGAUAAAAUUAAUAAAACUGCUCAAUAAUAGAAUUUAAAUUAAACACCUUGCCCCGGCUCCUAGAAAUGCGUGUACACAUUUUAAAGUCGCUCAUAUGCCCGCUUAACCUUUCAGACAAUUAAAACAGCCUUGAAAGACCUGAAGUUUUACUAAGCGAUAAACUGUCAGACCGGCCGAUCAGGGACCCGUGGGGUCCACGAUCUCCGAUGGCCAAUCUGGGCUUCUCUGAAGGUUCCUCAUAGAGAAGGAACCAUGUUCCGCGAAUUUGGUCCGAAACGGACGGUCGGAUUGGCCAAAAUCAUGUUAUCGCUUAAAAUCCAAACCCUAGCCCUAGGGUUCGCGAUUUUGGAGUAUCCGGGACUCGGAUUUGCAAUCUGUCGAAUCCUACACGAUUCUGAAAUCAUGUAGUAUGACAUAUCCAAAAUUGAGUGCGAUCCAACGAUUUGACGACACUGUACCCAAGUAUCGCGCGAUAUAAAAAAUCCGUUCGGGGCUCAAACGGACUCCAAAUUGAGAUCCGCGAAAUCCUACGCGCUUGUAACGACACGAGGAUCGCAAAACUACAUAGAGUCAGUCCACCACCCUUGCCCACGAUCCGCCACACGGGCGGGCAGAUUGGGUGUCCAAAGCAAUUAUGGGUUGCCGGAAAAUCUCGGAACCAGGACUUCAAACUCCUAUCCUAGGUAAAACACCCCAUUUGGAGUCACUUUUGUUCUUGGGCAUACGCCAAAAAGUGACCGGAAAUGGCCGAUCACGGCGGCCGAAGUUCGGCCAAUUUUCAAGUUGAAAAUCGAGUGUUCUAGAGCCAAAAUCGAUUAAAACCCAUACAUCCAUCAGUUAGAACAUGAAAAAUAGCUGAGAAACCAUACCUUACUCGAUCGAUUUGGUAGAGAAUUGAGGGAGAACGAAGAGCUGGAAGAUUAGAUGACAAUCCGGCAAAGAUUUGCAGUUUCCGGCGAGCUCCGGCCACGGCAAGGGCGGCGACGGGUCGGGGAAGGACGGUGGGUGAGUGGUGGUCAGUUUGGUACCAGCGGAGGAGAUCGGUUCGACCUGUGGCGGCCGGGGCGACGUCGAGAAGGCGCGGAGGUCAGGCGGCGGUGCGAAUCGGGAGAAGAGAGAGAGAGAGAGGAGAAAGAAAUGAGGAGAGAGAAGGGAUAAAGAGAUAAAAAUCUGACUUUUUGUCUAAAUUACCAUUUUGCCCUUCGCGGUAUUUUGAUCGUAUUUUCUUCGUUACAACUCCGAUUCGAGUCUACUCCGUGUCUACGGACUCGUUUCGCCGUGCUCUACGCAACAGCGCAAGCGGAAUUGCCAAAUUCUUUCUUGAUCAAAAAGUUAACUUUUUCCUUAUUAAAUAAUGCGAGGGCAAAAUUGUCUUUUUGCUAGAAGAUAUUAAUCCUACUUUUUAUAUAUUUUGUUACUUUUUUGAUAUUUUGUUUUGGGUUAUUACAAAACCUUUCUUCACAUUUAUUUUAUUUUUCUUAUAAUAUCUUACAAAGAAUAAAUUAAAGAGCUGUGAAAUUUGUUACAUUUCUCCUUAAGUUAAUGUCUCUUGCUUGUUUUGUUUGGACAUAAAAAACCUGUGUAAAACAGAGAUUUGCACUGUUAUGCUUUCACCAGUCAAUCACAUUUUGACACGUGAAAAAGUUAUUACAAGUGACAUGUCGUAAUUGGCCUUUUGCUAUACCCGUUUCACACAAGUGUUUCUCCUGUUUGGGGGUUAGGGGGUCAUCUUGGCCAAGCUGA
This 3637-nucleotide long non-coding RNA is filed under the name Prunus dulcis (almond). Its description in RNAcentral is "sRNA ncRNA". The record is from RNAcentral. Lineage: Eukaryota; Viridiplantae; Streptophyta; Magnoliopsida; Rosales; Rosaceae.